Molecule: ribosomal RNA, 468 nt
Filed under: uncultured bacterium
Lineage: Bacteria
Description: partial 16S ribosomal RNA
Rfam family: Bacterial small subunit ribosomal RNA
Source: RNAcentral
GACGAACGCUGGCGGCGUGCUUAACACAUGCAAGUCGAACGGAAAGGCCCUGCUUUUGUGGGGUGCUCGAGUGGCGAACGGGUGAGUAACACGUGAGUAACCUGCCCUUGACUUUGGGAUAACUUCAGGAAACUGGGGCUAAUACCGGAUAGGAGCUCCUGCUGCAUGGUGGGGGUUGGAAAGUUUCGGCGGUUGGGGAUGGACUCGCAGCUUAUCCGCUUGUUGGUGGGGUAGUGGCUUACCAAGGCUUUGACGGGUAGCCGGCCUGAGAGGGUGACCGGCCACAUGGGGACUGAGAUACGGCCCAGACUCCUACGGGAGGCAGCAGUGGGGAAUAUUGCACAAUGGGCGGAAGCCUGAUGCAGCAACGCCGCGUGCGGGAUGACGGCCUUCGGGUUGUAAACCGCUUUCGCCUGUGACGAAGCGUGAGUGACGGUAAUGGGUAAAGAAGCACCGGCUAACUACGUG